This 1570-nucleotide unclassified non-coding RNA is filed under the name Hevea brasiliensis (rubber tree). Lineage: Eukaryota; Viridiplantae; Streptophyta; Magnoliopsida; Malpighiales; Euphorbiaceae. The record is from RNAcentral.
AUAUUGACCAAAAUAUGAGAACAGAUCACAUCUGUUAACCUUAGAUAACCUUCAUAUUUCAAAGAACAAAGUAGCCUACCCAAAGACCAAAUAUCUGACUUGGAACCAUAAGGUAUAUCAGCAAGAAGCUCAGGGCACAUGUAACUGGGGGUUCCAACAACAGAAGAAGCAAAGUCAUCAGAAGUCAACAUUUUAGCAAGACCAAAAUCACCUAGGCGUAUGUCUUGAUCUCUUGUCAAAAAUAUAUUUGAACAUUUGACAUCACGAUGAAGUAUAUGGUUGGCAUGCAAGUAAUCCAGUGCCAUUAGUAGUUGAACAAGCCACUUGCAAAGUCUCUCCUCAGGAAAAUGAACACCAUUAGCCUUUUUUAUAGCUUCUGCCAUAUCUCCACCUUCACAGUACCCUAUGAUAAUGCAGACAUAGCAUCCCUUUUCUACCCAUGAAUCCUUGUACUCCACAAUGAAAGGAUUUCUUACUUUUGAAAUAAGUUCCAUCUGCAGUAAAGAACCCAAUAGCAUCCUAAAUUAUAAAGAUAAAAAUUUAGGUAUCAAUAGAUACAACAUCAAGCAAAUCAGUGUUUUGAUAUUUAAUCAUGAUAACUGCAAACAAAGUUAAGCAGGUAAAUAGUGUUAAGCAUCACUUCCCUUUCCAAUGAUGUCUACUGUUCUCAACCUUUAUAUUUCUUGCAAAAGGACAAUUAUUCAAUGUCAAUUUUUUUCUAAAUCCUGAAUGAAGAUAAAGCUCAAUCCAAUAACCUCCUGGUGGGCAGACCUGCGGGCUCUAUCAGUCUGACGAGCCAAACGGAUCUUUUUCAUUACGUACUUCUUCUUUUCAUGUCUUUGCCUCACAAGAAGAGCCGAACCAAAGGAACCUUUGCCUAUCUGCUCUAGAAUUUCAUAUUGCUCCAUUGUCAGUUCUAUGAACCCCCUCCCCCUUCCUUUGGACCUUCAAAAGAAUUUUAAACUCCUACCCAUCAUGGAUGUAGAAUCCCCAAAACUGUGAGAGAAAUGCACGUAGAGCUCACAACAGAUAGUUUCAUAAUCAGUGCGAAUGACUAAAUGGUUACAGGGCAAAUUGUUGAUUGUCCAGUCCAAAACCCAAAAAUGCAAGUCCACGUGAUUAAGUCCCAAAUAAACCAACUUUUUUCCCUUCCAAAUAUACGAGACAAAUAUCCAUUGAAGGGUUCCACAUGAUCACAUCCCAUAAGAAGCAGAAAUUGCACAAACCACAAGCGAAGUCUCCAAGAAUCCACCCCAGUUAACCAAGAAGCCCACACUAUCCAAAAACUAAAUAUUUAAUGAAAGAAAGAGUAAACAAUUUGGAAAUGAUUUCUUGCACUUCAAAUUCGAACAAGAAAACCGGAUAACAGCAUUAAGAAUUCAUAAGCAAACAGAAGAACUAUUGAAGAAACUGAAUGCAAAGUUGCAAACACGACAAAACAAAUUAUGAAAAAAGAUAAACAAACAAUAAAGUAAAGUGAAAUAAUAAAGCCAAAAGACAAGGAACGGAACUCAAAAAUUACAUGCAAAAGAAAAUGAAUUAUUCCUGGAAAAAAUCAAAGGCAAACAGG